This 501-nucleotide ribosomal RNA is filed under the name uncultured bacterium. Its description in RNAcentral is "partial 16S ribosomal RNA". It matches the Rfam family "Bacterial small subunit ribosomal RNA", at positions 29 to 523 of the family's 1533-position model. The record is from RNAcentral.
AUUGAACGCUGGCGGCAUGCCUUACACAUGCAAGUCGAACGGCAGCACGGGUGCUUGCACCUGGUGGCGAGUGGCGAACGGGUGAGUAAUUCAUCGGAACGUACCUUAUCGUGGGGGAUAACGCAGCGAAAGCUGUGCUAAUACCGCAUACGCCCUGAGGGGGAAAGCGGGGGAUCGCAAGACCUCGCGCGAUUAGAGCGGCCGAUGCCUGAUUAGCUUGUUGGUGGGGUAAAAGCCCACCAAGGCGACGAUCAGUAGCUGGUCUGAGAGGACGAUCAGCCACACUGGGACUGAGACACGGCCCAGACUCCUACGGGAGGCAGCAGUGGGGAAUUCUGGACAAUGGGGGCAACCCUGAUCCAGCAAUGCCGCGUGAGUGAAGAAGGCCUUCGGGUUGUAAAGCUCUUUUGUCAGGGAAGAAACACCGGCUCUAACACAGUCUGGGAAUGACGGUACCUGAAGAAUAAGCACCGGCUAACUACGUGCCAGCAGCAGCCGCGG